RNAcentral lists this ribosomal RNA (459 nucleotides) under uncultured bacterium. RNAcentral describes it as "partial 16S ribosomal RNA". It matches the Rfam family "Bacterial small subunit ribosomal RNA", at positions 338 to 795 of the family's 1533-position model. The record is from RNAcentral.
CCUACGGAUGGCAGCAGUGAGGAAUAUUGGUCAAUGGUCGCGAGCCUGAACCAGCCAAGUCGCGUGAGGGAGGACGGUACAGAGGAUCGUAAACCUCUUUUGUCAGGGAACAAAGGCGGCGACGUGUCGCGUGAUGAGAGUACCUGAAGAAAAAGCAUCGGCUAACUCCGUGCCAGCAGCCGCGGUAAUACGGAGGAUGCGAGCGUUAUCCGGAUUUAUUGGGUUUAACGGGUGCGCAGGCGGAAGAUCAAGUCAGCGGUAAAAUCCCGGGGCUCAACCCCUUCGAGCCGUUGAAACUGGGAGUCUUGAGUUGGUGAGAAGUAUGCGGAAUGCGCGGUGUAGCGGUGAAAUGCAUAGAUAUCGCGCAGAACUCCGAUGGCGAAGGCAGCAUGCCGGCUCCACACUGACGCUGAGGCACGAAAGUGUGGGUAUCGAACAGGAUUAGAUACCCGGGUAGUC